AGGGCAUUUGGUGGAUGCCUUGGCAUGCACAGGCGAUGAAGGACGUGAUAUGCUGCGAUAAGCUAUGGGGAGCUGCAAAUAAGCAUUGAUCCGUAGAUUUCCGAAUGGGGUAACCCGCCUUAUGUGCCUAGGAAACUGAACUAAGUUGGUUUAAUUUUCUAGGUAUUUUGAAGGUAUCUUUAUCUGAAUGAA
This 192-nucleotide ribosomal RNA is filed under the name Candidatus Liberibacter asiaticus. RNAcentral describes it as "partial 23S ribosomal RNA". It matches the Rfam family "Bacterial large subunit ribosomal RNA", at positions 14 to 166 of the family's 2925-position model. The record is from RNAcentral. Lineage: Bacteria; Pseudomonadati; Pseudomonadota; Alphaproteobacteria; Hyphomicrobiales; Rhizobiaceae.